GGCUUUAUAGCUCACUUGGUUAGAGCGUCGCACUGGUUUUACCAGGUCACGGAUUUAAACCCCGUCGAAGCUC
RNAcentral lists this transfer RNA (73 nucleotides) under Acropora cervicornis. RNAcentral describes it as "tRNA-Thr". Lineage: Eukaryota; Metazoa; Cnidaria; Anthozoa; Scleractinia; Acroporidae. The record is from RNAcentral.